CCCUUAGAUGUCCGGGGCCGCACGCGCGCUACACUGAAGGAAUCAGCGUGGCUUUCUCCCUGACCCGAAAGGGUUGGGAAACCCGUUGAAUCUCCUUCGUGAUAGGGAUUGGGGCUUGAAAUUGUUCCCCAUGAACGAGGAAUUCCCAGUAAGCGCGAGUCAUAAGCUCGCGUUGAUUACGUCCCUGCCCUUUGUACACACCGCCCGUCGCUCCUACCGAUUGGGUGAUCCGGUGAAUAACUCGGACUGCAGCUAUUCGGGAGACCGUUAGCUUGUGGAAAGUUUAGUAAAUCUUAUCACUUAGAGGAAGGAGAAGUCGUAACA
This 324-nucleotide ribosomal RNA is filed under the name uncultured eukaryote. RNAcentral describes it as "partial 18S ribosomal RNA". It matches the Rfam family "Eukaryotic small subunit ribosomal RNA", at positions 1470 to 1796 of the family's 1831-position model. The record is from RNAcentral.